UACGAAGGGGGCUAGCGUUGCUCGGAAUCACUGGGCGUAAAGGGCGCGUAGGCGGCCAUUCAAGUCGGGGGUGAAAGCCUGUGGCUCAACCACAGAAUUGCCUUCGAUACUGUUUGGCUUGAGUAUGGCAGAGGUCAGUGGAACUGCGAGUGUAGAGGUGAAAUUCGUAGAUAUUCGCAAGAACACCAGUGGCGAAGGCGGCUGACUGGGCCGAUACUGACGCUGAGGCACGAAAGCGUGGGGAGCAAACAGG
Molecule: ribosomal RNA, 253 nt
Filed under: uncultured bacterium
Lineage: Bacteria
Description: partial 16S ribosomal RNA
Rfam family: Bacterial small subunit ribosomal RNA
Source: RNAcentral